Molecule: ribosomal RNA, 131 nt
Filed under: uncultured soil bacterium
Lineage: Bacteria
Description: partial 16S ribosomal RNA
Rfam family: Bacterial small subunit ribosomal RNA
Source: RNAcentral
GCGAAGCCUGAUGGAGCAACGCCGCGUGCAGGAUGAAGGCCUUCGGGUUGUAAACUGCUUUUAUAUGUGACGAUUAUGACGGUAGCAUAUGAAUAAGGAUCGGCUAACUCCGUGCCAGCAGCCGCGGUAAU